AGCGAACGCCGGCGGCAGGCCUAACACAUGCAAGUCGAACGAACUCUUCGGAGUUAGUGGCGGACGGGUGAGUAACACGUGGGAACGUGCCUUUAGGUUCGGAAUAACUCAGGGAAACUUGUGCUAAUACCGAAUGUGCCCUUCGGGGGAAAGAUUUAUCGCCUUUAGAGCGGCCCGCGUCUGAUUAGCUAGUUGGUGAGGUAAAGGCUCACCAAGGCGACGAUCAGUAGCUGGUCUGAGAGGAUGAUCAGCCACAUUGGGACUGAGACACGGCCCAAACUCCUACGGGAAGCAGCAGUGGGGAAUCUUGCGCAAUGGGCGAAAGCCUGACGCAGCCAUGCCGCGUGAAUGAUGAAGGUCUUAGGAUUGUAAAAUUCUUUCACCGGGGACGAUAAUGACGGUACCCGGAGAAGAAGCCCCGGCUAACUUCGUG
Molecule: ribosomal RNA, 433 nt
Filed under: uncultured bacterium
Lineage: Bacteria
Description: partial 16S ribosomal RNA
Rfam family: Bacterial small subunit ribosomal RNA
Source: RNAcentral